This 254-nucleotide ribosomal RNA is filed under the name uncultured bacterium. RNAcentral describes it as "partial 16S ribosomal RNA". It matches the Rfam family "Bacterial small subunit ribosomal RNA", at positions 524 to 776 of the family's 1533-position model. The record is from RNAcentral.
UACGGAGGGGGCUAGCGUUGUUCGGAAUUACUGGGCGUAAAGGGCGCGCAGGCGGCUGCUCAAGUCAGGCGUGAAAGGCCUGGGCUCAACCCGGGAAUUGCGCUUGAGACUGGGCUGGCUUGAGUGCGGGAGAGGAUGGUGGAAUUCCCAGUGUAGAGGUGAAAUUCGUAGAUAUCGGGAGGAAUACCGAUGGCGAAGGCAGGUCUCUGGGCUGACACUGACGCUCAUGCACGAAAGCGUGGGGAGCAAACAGG